AGCUCCAAUAGCGUAUACUAAAGUUGUUGCGGUUAAAAAGCUCGUAGUUGGAUUUCUGUCAGUGAGUGGUGCUCCGCCCCUUGUGGUGAGUAGUCAUCAUGCCGCUGGCAUCUUCUUGGGGAGUGUAUCUGCACUUCACUGUGUGGUGCACAAGCCAGGACUCUUACUUUGAGGAAAUGAGAGUGUUUCAAGCAGGCGUGCGCCGUGAAUACGUUGGCAUGGAAUAAUAGCAUCGGACCUCGCUCCAAAGCUGUUGGUUUCUUGGGUCGAGGUAAAGGUGAAUAGGGAUUGUUGGGGGCAUUCGUAUUUAACUGUCAGAGGUGAAAUUUUUGGAUUUGUUGAAGACGGACUACUGCGAAAGCAUCUGCCAAAGAUGUUC
RNAcentral lists this ribosomal RNA (379 nucleotides) under uncultured eukaryote. RNAcentral describes it as "SSU rRNA". It matches the Rfam family "Eukaryotic small subunit ribosomal RNA", at positions 587 to 969 of the family's 1831-position model. The record is from RNAcentral.